GACGAACCGUGCGAACGUUGUUCGGAAUCACUGGGCUUAAAGGGCGCGUAGGCGGGCUGCCGAGUCCGGGGUGAAAUCCUCCCGCUCAACGGGAGAACGGCCCCGGGUACUGGCGGCCUCGAGGCGGGUAGGGGCGUGCGGAACACUGGGUGGAGCGGUGAAAUGCGUUGAUAUCCAGUGGAACUCCGGUGGCGAAGGCGGCACGCUGGACCGACACUGACACUGAGGAGCGAAAGCCAGGGGAGCAAACGGG
This 253-nucleotide ribosomal RNA is filed under the name uncultured bacterium. RNAcentral's name for it is "partial 16S ribosomal RNA". It matches the Rfam family "Bacterial small subunit ribosomal RNA", at positions 524 to 776 of the family's 1533-position model. The record is from RNAcentral.